CGCGGUCUACUGUGGACUAGACAGUGUUUCAACACUCAAAAGUGUGGGGUAUCUCUCUUACACCUGUUUUUUUUGGAUAUUGAGGUGUGUAACUCCCUCUCGAAAAUAUGAUACCUAUUAAUCUCGUUUUUCAAAACAGUGGUGAAAACAUCCCUCUGCCUUGUGCAAAACCUUUUCCCUCUCUGCUCUUUUUGCACA
RNAcentral lists this ribosomal RNA (198 nucleotides) under uncultured archaeon. RNAcentral's name for it is "partial 16S ribosomal RNA". The record is from RNAcentral.